RNAcentral lists this ribosomal RNA (485 nucleotides) under uncultured bacterium. RNAcentral describes it as "bacterial SSU rRNA". It matches the Rfam family "Bacterial small subunit ribosomal RNA", at positions 34 to 518 of the family's 1533-position model. The record is from RNAcentral.
CGCUGGCGGCGUGCCUAACACAUGCAAGUCGAACGGAGUGAUUCACGAAGGUCUUCGGAUUGGACGAGAUCACUUAGUGGCGGACGGGUGAGUAACGCGUGAGCAACCUGCCUUUCAGAGGGGGACAACGGUUGGAAACGACCGCUAAUACCGCAUAAUACAUUCUGGCCGCAUGACCGGGAUGUCAAAGAUUUUAUCGCUGAAAGAUGGGCUCGCGUCUGAUUAGAUAGUUGGUGGGCAACGGCCUACCAAGUCGACGAUCAGUAGCCGGACUGAGAGGUUGAACGGCCACAUUGGGACUGAGAUACGGCCCAGACUCCUACGGGAGGCAGCAGUGGGGAAUAUUGGGCCAAUGGGGGCAACCCUGACCCAGCAACGCCGCGUGAAGGAAGAAGGCUUUCGGGUUGUAAACUUCUUUUACCAGGGACGAAGAACGUGACGGUACCUGGAGAAAAAGCCACGGCUAACUACGUGCCAGCCGCAGC